GUUAGGAAUAUUGGACAAUGGGCGCAAGCCUGAUCCAGCCAUGCCGCGUGAACGAUGAAGGCCUUCGGGUUGUAAAGUUCUUUAGCCGAUGAUUAUAAUGACUGUAGUCGGAAAAUAAGCCCCGGCUAACUUCGUGCCAGCAGCCGCGGUAAUACGAAGGGGGCGAGCGUUAUUCGGAAUCACUGGGCGUAAAGCGUGCGUAGGCGGUCUCGUAAGUUAGGAGUGAAAGCCCAGGGCUCAACAUUGGAAUUGCUCUUAAUACUGCAAGGCUAGAAUCUCGGAGAGGAUAGCGGAAUUUCCAGUGUAGCAGUGAAAUGCGUAGAUAUUGGAAGGAACACCAGUGGCGUAAGCGGCUAUCUGGACGAGUAUUGACGCUGAGGCACGAAAGCGUGGGGAUCAAACAGGAUUAGAAACCCUGGUAGUCC
Molecule: ribosomal RNA, 425 nt
Filed under: uncultured bacterium
Lineage: Bacteria
Description: partial 16S ribosomal RNA
Rfam family: Bacterial small subunit ribosomal RNA
Source: RNAcentral